RNAcentral lists this ribosomal RNA (415 nucleotides) under uncultured bacterium. Its description in RNAcentral is "bacterial SSU rRNA". It matches the Rfam family "Bacterial small subunit ribosomal RNA", at positions 356 to 773 of the family's 1533-position model. The record is from RNAcentral.
AAGGAAUAUUGCGCAAUGGGCGACAGCCUGACGCAGCGACGCCGCGUGGGGGAUGAAGGUCUUCGGAUUGUAAACCCCUUUCGGCAGGGAAGAUGGAACGGGUAACCGUUCGGACGGUACCUGCAGAAGCAGCCACGGCUAACUUCGUGCCAGCAGCCGCGGUAAUACGAAGGUGGCAAGCGUUGUUCGGAUUUACUGGGCGUACAGGGAGCGUAGGCGGUUGGGUAAGCCCUUCGUGAAAUCUCCGGGCCUAACCCGGAAAGUGCGGAGGGGACUGCUCGGCUAGAGGAUGGGAGAGGAGCGCGGAAUUCCCGGUGUAGCGGUGAAAUGCGUAGAGAUCGGGAGGAAGGCCGGUGGCGAAGGCGGCGCUCUGGAACAUUUCUGACGCUGAGGCUCGAAAGCGUGGGGAGCAAAC